AUUGAACGCUGGCGGCAGGCCUAACACAUGCCAGUCGAACGGUAACAGGAAGAAGCUUGCUUCUUUGCUGACGAGUGGCGGACGGGUGAGUAAUGUCUGGGAAACUGCCUGAUGGAGGGGGAUAACUACUGGAAACGGUAGCUAAUACCGCAUAACGUCGCAAGACCAAAGAGGGGGACCUUCGGGCCUCUUGCCAUCGGAUGUGCCCAGAUGGGAUUAGCUAGUAGGUGGGGUAACGGCUCACCUAGGCGACGAUCCCUAGCUGGUCUGAGAGGAUGACCAGCCACACUGGAACUGAGACACGGUCCAGACCCCUACGGGAGGCAGCAGUGGGGAAUAUUGCACAAUGGGCGCAAGCCUGAUGCAGCCAUGCCGCGUGUAUGAAGAAGGCCUUCGGGUUGUAAAGUACUUUCAGCGGGGAGGAAGGGAGUAAAGUUAAUACCUUUGCUCAUUGACGUUACCCGCAGAAGAAGCACCGGCUAACUCCGUG
RNAcentral lists this ribosomal RNA (490 nucleotides) under uncultured bacterium. Its description in RNAcentral is "partial 16S ribosomal RNA". It matches the Rfam family "Bacterial small subunit ribosomal RNA", at positions 30 to 507 of the family's 1533-position model. The record is from RNAcentral.